AAAAGCAUGAGCUACCUGCAGUCGAGGGGUAAAUAGUAGCUUGCUACUGAUGACGACCGGCGCACGGGUGCGCACCGCGUAUGGAACNCUACCUUUUACAGGNGGAAUAGCUCUUUGGAAACGAAGAUUAAUGCCCCAUAGCAUCAUUAUGCAGCAUUGCAUUUUGAUUAAAGGCUUCGGCCGGUAAAAGAUGGCCAUGCGUCCCAUUAGUUAGUUGGUAAGGUAACGGCUUACCAAGACUACGAUGGGUAGGGGCCCUGAGAGGGGGAUCCCCCACACUGGUACUGAGACACGGACCAGACUCCUACGGGAGGCAGCAGUGAGGAAUAUUGGACAAUGGAGGAGACUCUGAUCCAGCCAUGCCGCGUGCAGGAAGAAUGCCCUAUGGGUAGUAAACUGCUUUUAUACAGGAAGAAAAAGGGCUACGUGUAGCCCACUGACGGUACUGUAAGAAUAAGGACCGGCUAACUCCGUGCCAGCAGCCGCGGUAAUACGGAGGGUCCGAGCGUUAUCCGGAAUUAUUGGGUUUAAAGGGUCCGUAGGCGGGCGAUUAAGUCAGUGGUGAAAGUCUGCAGCUCAACUGUAGAAUUGCCUUUGAUACUGGUCGUCUUGAGUUAUAGUGAAGUUGCCGGAAUAUGUAGUGUAGCGGUGAAAUGCAUAGAUAUUACAUAGAACACCGAUUGCGAAGGCAGGUGACUAACUAUAUACUGACGCUGAUGGACGAAAGCGUGGGGAGCGAACAGGAUUAGAUACCCUGGUAGUCCACGCCGUAAACGAUGGAUACUAGCUGUCCGGGACCUUGAGUCCUGGGCGGCCAAGCGAAAGUGAUAAGUAUCCCACCUGGGGAGUAC
Molecule: ribosomal RNA, 851 nt
Filed under: Bacteroidetes bacterium LJ
Lineage: Bacteria; Pseudomonadati; Bacteroidota
Description: bacterial SSU rRNA
Rfam family: Bacterial small subunit ribosomal RNA
Source: RNAcentral